Molecule: long non-coding RNA, 740 nt
Organism: Eriocheir sinensis (Chinese mitten crab)
Lineage: Eukaryota; Metazoa; Arthropoda; Malacostraca; Decapoda; Varunidae
Exons: 2
Source: RefSeq, a predicted model, not a curated record
UGACAGUAAAGGGAUGAGCUUGAGUAGAAAGUCGAGUGUGGUGAGGGCGUGGGAGGGGGGAGAGGGAUGCAGUUAGCAAGUUCAGAAGAGCGGUCAGCCACAUAUUCCCCCCCCAGAGUCUCCCGUCCCAUCCCAACAACCCAUCCCUCCCUCCUCCUCUCAGUGCCAGCCACAUUCUCCCCUCCCAGAGUCUCUCGUCCCAUCCCAACAACCCAUCCCUCCCUCCUCCCCUCAGUGCCAGCCACAUUCUCCCCUCCCAGAGUCUCCCGUCCCAUCCCAACAACCCAUCCCUCCCUCCUCUCCUCAGUGCCAGCCACAUUCUCCCCUCCCAGAGUCUCUCGUCCCAUCCCAACAACCCAUCCCUCCCUCCUCCCCUCAGUGCCAGCCACAUUCUCCCCUCCCAAAGCCUCCCGUCCCAUCCGAACAACCCAUCCCUCCCUCCUCUCCUCUGCAGUCCACCUCCAGUCAGCCUGAUCAGCCCUGGGGAGCCUGACUGCUCCAUCAUCUUCAGUCACCCAGGAUGUGAAGAACAAACUACAGAGCAUGUGGUGUGUGCUGGGAUGCCUUGCAGGAGAUCACGCUGGGAUACGAAGCCGCCCCUCAAGAGAUGGAGUCCAUUCAGCUGUUCAAUUCUGCCGAGGGAAAAGAAUCAUUCAACUCUGAAGACUGCCAUGGAUUCUUAUGUAUUAGCUAGCGAGAUGUGAACUUUCUAUCUCGUGAAAAUAAAGUUCAGGGACGUA